This 775-nucleotide ribosomal RNA is filed under the name uncultured Neocallimastigales. RNAcentral's name for it is "partial large subunit ribosomal RNA". It matches the Rfam family "Eukaryotic large subunit ribosomal RNA", at positions 23 to 620 of the family's 3401-position model. The record is from RNAcentral. Lineage: Eukaryota; Fungi; Neocallimastigomycota; Neocallimastigomycetes; Neocallimastigales.
AGAGAGAGACAUGCGCGCAUAUCAAUAAGCGGAGGAAAAGAAACUAACAAGGAUUCCCUUAGUAACGGCGAGUGAAGCGGGAAGAGCUCAAAUUUGAAAUCUUCAAGGUUUUACCUUGACGAAUUGUAGUUUAAAGAAGUGUUUUCUGCUGAAGUUUUGGUAAAAGUUCUUUGGAAUAGGACAUCAUAGAGGGUGAGAAUCCCGUAUUUGACCAUUAUUUUCAGCUUUGUGAUACACUUUCAAAGAGUCGGAUUGUUUGGGAAUGCAGUCCAAAAUGGGUGGUAAAUUUCAUCUAAAGCUAAAUAUUGGCGAGAGACCGAUAGCGAACAAGUACCGUGAGGGAAAGAUGAAAAGAACUUUGAAAAGAGAGUUAAACAGUACGUGAAAUUGUCAGAAGGGAAGCGUUUGACACCAGUGUUGUUUUCUCGAAAAUCAAUUAAAAAUGGCUCGAUUUUGUAUUGCUUGAGACCUUAAAAGCUCACUGUACAUUUUUCGUGUCUUUUUUAAUGCACUUUUCGUUUAACAAGUCAACAUCAGUUUCUUUUGUUGUAAAAGGGUCAUUGGAAGGUGGCUUUCUUUUCGGAGAAAGUGUUUAUAGCCUUUGGCCUCUGCAAUCGAAGAGACUGAGGUCUGCAGCGUAGACUCUUCGGGGUUAGAUACAUUUGUGCUAAGUUAUAGCUUUUUAUAGACAACUUGUUGACUAUAAUUAGUCUUGUAGCUUACUCGCUUAUGCUAUUUUACCUACGCUUAGGAUGUUGAAGAUGUAGCACAUCAU